Molecule: ribosomal RNA, 1147 nt
Filed under: uncultured eukaryote
Lineage: Eukaryota
Description: partial Bacterial large subunit ribosomal RNA
Rfam family: Bacterial large subunit ribosomal RNA
Source: RNAcentral
CUGGUUCUCCCCGAAAUGCAUUUAGGUGCAGCGUUGCAUGUUGAGCGUGGUGGAGGUAGAGCGACUGGUUGGUUGAGCGGGAUUAUGCGUCUUAGUGAUACCUGCCAAACUCCGAAUUCCAUUGACGUGUUGUGUGGCAGUGAGACUGUGGGGGAUAAGCUCCAUUGGUCGAGAGGGAAACAGCCCAGAUCGCCGGCUAAGGCCCCUAAGGGUGUGCUAAGUGGGAAAGGAUGUGGGGUCGCGAAGACAGCCAGGAGGUUGGCUUAGAAGCAGCCAUCCUUUAAAGAAAGCGUAAUAGCUCACUAGUCGAGUCGGCCUGCGCGGAAGAUGUAACGGGGCUAAGUAAUAUACCGAAGCUGCGGACGCAAAGUUUACUUUGCGUGGUAGGGGAGCGUUGUGUAAGUGGCUGAAGGUGAGCUGAGAGGCGAGCUGGACAUAUCACAAGUGCGAAUGCUGACAUGAGUAACGAUAAGGGGAGUGAAAAACUCCCCCGCCGGAAGACCAAGGUUUCCUGUCCCAUGUUAAUCAGGACAGGGUUAGUCGGCCCCUAAGGCGAGGCAGAAAUGCGUAGUCGAUGGAAAACGGGUUAAUAUUCCCGUACUUGUUAUAACUGCGAUGGAGGGACGGAGUAGGCUAGGCGAUCGCGGCGUUGGUUGUCCGCGUUUAAGCUCGUAGGCUGGGGGAUUAGGCAAAUCCGGUUCCCUAAGGCUGAGAAGCGAAUACGAGUCCUCUUUUGGACGAAGUCGUUGAUGCCAUGCUUCCAAGAAAAUCUUCUAAGCUUCAGGUUAUAACAAACCGUACCCCAAACCGACACAGGUGGUCAGGUAGAGAAUACCAAGGCGCUUGAGAGAACUCGGGUGAAGGAACUAGGCAAAAUGGUACCGUAACUUCGGGAGAAGGUACGCUCCCUCUGGUGAUCGGACUUGCUCCGUAAGCUGAGGGGAGUCGAAGUGACCAGGUGGCUGCAACUGUUUAUCAAAAACAUAGCACUGUGCAAACACGAAAGUGGACGUAUACGGUGUGACGCCUGCCCGGUGCCGGAAGGUUAAUUGAUGGGGUUAUCUUCGGAGAAGCUCUUGAUCGAAGCCCCGGUAAACGGCGGCCGUAACUAUAACGGUCCUAAGGUAGCGAAAUUCCUUGUCGGGUA